ACUCCUGCGGGAGGCAGCAGUGGGGAAUAUUGCACAAUGGGCGCAAGCCUGAUGCAGCCAUGCCGCGUGUAUGAAGAAGGCCUUCGGGUUGUAAAGUACUUUCAGCGGGGAGGAAGGCGAUAAGGUUAAUAACCUUGUUGAUUGACGUUACCCGCAGAAGAAGCACCGGCUAACUCCGUGCCAGCAGCCGCGGUAAUACGGAGGGUGCAAGCGUUAAUCGGAAUUACUGGGCGUAAAGCGCACGCAGGCGGUCUGUCAAGUCGGAUGUGAAAUCCCCGGGCUCAACCUGGGAACUGCAUUCGAAACUGGCAGGCUAGAGUCUUGUAGAGGGGGGUAGAAUUCCAGGUGUAGCGGUGAAAUGCGUAGAGAUCUGGAGGAAUACCGGUGGCGAAGGCGGCCCCCUGGACAAAGACUGACGCUCAGGUGCGAAAGCGUGGGGAGCAAACAGGAUUAGAAACCCGGGUAGUCCCAUGAU
Molecule: ribosomal RNA, 475 nt
Filed under: uncultured organism
Description: partial 16S ribosomal RNA
Rfam family: Bacterial small subunit ribosomal RNA
Source: RNAcentral